GAGAGCUGUGCAGAGAAGUCAACUUCAUCAUGAUGAAGCCUCACCUGCUUUUCACACUGAUGUAUUUCUGUCUGGAGUUGGAAGCACACGAUCUUUCUCCACCCAAACUGACAGUGGAUGUAUCUGUGAUCAAAAAAACAGAUUCAGUGACAUUAAAGUGUCAGAGUUCAUCUACAGAGUCUACUUCUGAGUGUUCUUUCUUCGCUCAAAGUGAAACGCUCUUUGUGGGCCGCUGUCUGCAGAACAUAACAGGAGCUGAAAUUCUGAUACGAACUAAAAGAAGAUCUCCUGCUACCGUUGAAGUUAGAUGUUCUUACACUGUAAAGGAAGGAAAUUUCCAUUUUACAUCUGUAGAGAGUGAUCCAUCCACCAUUGAGAUAAACAAUCUUCUUAGACCUGAUCUGACCGUGAAUCCACGUCUGAUCUCAGAAAAGGAUUCAGUCACAUUAAACUGUCAGACUUCAGUGUCUUUGACUGAAUGUUCGUGGCAUUUUAAGGGAAAAAGUCGAGCCCGACGUUUCUCUUGUUCUAAGACACUGACUGGAGCUGAGCUGAUAGAAAUUACGAGUCUAAGAGUUCCUGCUAAAGUCCGAGUUUCGUGCUCUUACCUUGAUGGUACAAAAUCUCCAGAAAGUGAACAGAAGACCAUCACUAUCCAGCUUCCUCAGCCUGAACUAAGAGUGAAUCCAGCUGUGAUCACAGAGAGAGACUCGGCCACACUGAACUGUGUGUCUCCAUCAUCUCUUUCUGUCUCUGAAUGUCAUUUCUACUUUUUGAAAACAAAAACCACAAAAAGCAGCUCCUGCAUGCAGACGCUGACAGCAGCUGAACUUCUGUCCAUGUCUAGUCAAAGAUCACCUGCUGAUGUUGAACUAACGUGUUUUUACUCUGUGGAAGAGCAAGAAGGAAACUCUCAGUCUCCACGCAGCAAUGUCAGCUACAUCCACAUCAGUGUAGAAAGAAAAAGGACAUCAGUGACUUCAGCAGACAGUUGGUCUGGAGAUUUAACUACUGGCACGCCAAAGAUCUCUGACCUUCUUCCACCUGAUCUGACCGUGAAUCCACGGCUGAUCUCAGAAAAGGAUUCAGUCACAUUAAACUGUCAGACUUCAGUGUCUUUGACUGAAUGUUUUUGGCUCUUUAAGGGAAAAAGUCGAGCCCAACAUUUCUCUUGUUCUAAGACACUGACUGGAGCUGAGCUGAUAGAAAUGACGAGUCUAAGAGUUCCUGCUAAAGUUACAAUCUCAUGUUUUUACCUUAAUGGUACAAAAUCUCCAGAAAGUGAAGAGAAGACCAUCACUAUCCAGUUUCCUCAGCCUGAACUAAGAGUGAAUCCAGCUGUGAUCACAGAGAGAGACUCGGCCACACUGAACUGUGUGUCUCCAUCAUCUCUUUCUGUCUCUGAAUGUCAUUUCUACUUUUUGAAAACAAAAAUCACAAAAAGCAGCUCCUGCAUGCAGACGCUGACAGCAGCUGAACUUCUGUCCAUGUCAAGUCAAAGGUCACCUGCUGAUGUUGAACUAACGUGUUUUUACUCUGUGGAAGAGCAAGAAGGAAACUCUCAGUCUCCACGCAGCAAUGUCAGCUACAUCCACAUCAGUGUGGUAAGAAAAAGGACGUUAGUGACUUCAGCAGACAGUUGGUCUGGAGAUUUAACUACUGGAACACCAAAGAUCUCUGGUACUCCAUCAUCUACGUCUUUCACAUCAGUGAAUCCUGAUUCAGAAAAUCCACAGAUCCAUCUUUCUAACGGAGAAGAAUGGAAAAAGCUCUUAGCUUUUCCAGUUUUUGUGGUCGCUGUUUGUGCAAUCGUCCUGGGAUGGACUCUCUUUUGGUCCAAUAGAGAAAGUGGUAAGAACAGCGACGACUCCUGUGAGAUUUAAAGAAGAUAACUUGCUGCUCUUUCAUCUGCUGGUUAAUGUCAUGGAAAACCAAAAAACCUCACUCGCCUCACUUAUCUGUUAGUUUUGUACUUUCAUCUCAAGUCACAUGGCUGAAAAUAUAAAAAGUACAACCAAGUUUCUGAGAGUUUUUUAUUUAUUUUCUAACUUAAAGUCAGUUUAAUUGUCAAGACAGAGGCAUUACAUUUGUCAAUUUCCU
This 2100-nucleotide long non-coding RNA is filed under the name Oryzias javanicus (javanese ricefish). RNAcentral describes it as "lncRNA (ENSOJAG00000022512.1)". Lineage: Eukaryota; Metazoa; Chordata; Actinopteri; Beloniformes; Adrianichthyidae. The record is from RNAcentral.